This 789-nucleotide ribosomal RNA is filed under the name Lates niloticus (Nile perch). RNAcentral's name for it is "partial large subunit ribosomal RNA". It matches the Rfam family "Bacterial large subunit ribosomal RNA", at positions 568 to 1851 of the family's 2925-position model. The record is from RNAcentral. Lineage: Eukaryota; Metazoa; Chordata; Actinopteri; Centropomidae.
AAGCAGAGAUUAAACCUCGUACCUUUUGCAUCAUGACUUAGCUAGUACCCUCAAGCAAAGAGCACCUUUAGUUUGAUACCCCGAAACUAAUGUGAGCUACUCCAAGACAGCCUAUUUAUAGGGCAAACCCGUCUCUGUAGCAAAAGAGUGGGAAGAGCUUUGAGUAGAGGUGACAGACCUACCGAACUUAGUUAUAGCUGGUUGCCUGAGAACUGGAUACAAGUUCAGCCUCCCGGCUUCUCCAUUCAUUUACUUCUCAAAUGACUACUUCUAGAUGAAAAGAAACCCGCGAGAGUUAGUCAAAGGAGGUACAGCUCCUUUGAAUCAAGAUACAACUUUCCAAGGAGGGUAAAGAUCAUAAUCUUAAUAAGGCAAAAUGUUCUGGUGGGCCUAAGAGCAGCCAUCCCAAUUAGAAAGCGUUAAAGCUCGAACAUAUCUUCCGCCCCAUAUCCCGAUAACCCAAUCUUAACCCCCUAACUUUAUCAGGCUGUCCCAUGCAAACAUGGAAGCGACCAUGCUAAUAUGAGUAACAAGAGGGCCAACUUACGCCCCUCUCCUAGCACACGUGUACAUCGAAACGGACCUACCACCGAAACUUAACGGCCCCAAACAAAGAGGGAAAUGAAAAAUAAAUGAUAUACUAGAAAACCAUCCAAUACAUAACCGUUAACCCCACACCGGUGUGCCCGAAGGAAAGACUAAAAGAAAAAGAAGGAACUCGGCAAACAUAAGCCUCGCCUGUUUACCAAAAACAUCGCCUCUUGUAUAACCAUAAUAAACAAAUAAGAG